RNAcentral lists this small RNA (81 nucleotides) under Flavobacterium limicola. RNAcentral describes it as "Flavo-1 RNA". Lineage: Bacteria; Pseudomonadati; Bacteroidota; Flavobacteriia; Flavobacteriales; Flavobacteriaceae. The record is from RNAcentral.
AUGUAAACAUUUGCAGUAAAAAUCCUUUUAUGUUUUUGCUGCCAAAAACAUAAAAAAUUGCAACGAAUAGCAGGAAUAGCU